AAUCCAUAGUAUGGGCGUUUCUAAAUUAGCAUUGUAAAACACUCCCAUGUUUCGUGAAAAAUUUCUCCUUUUAAUUGUUUAAACAUAGAAAUUUCCUUCCUUAGUUG
This 107-nucleotide small nucleolar RNA is filed under the name Gossypium hirsutum (cotton). Its description in RNAcentral is "Plant small nucleolar RNA R71". It matches the Rfam family "Plant small nucleolar RNA R71". From Rfam's summary of the family: R71 is a member of the C/D box family of snoRNAs containing the C (UGAUGA) and D (CUGA) box motifs. The record is from Rfam by way of RNAcentral. Lineage: Eukaryota; Viridiplantae; Streptophyta; Magnoliopsida; Malvales; Malvaceae.